Molecule: ribosomal RNA, 346 nt
Filed under: Eukaryota sp.
Lineage: Eukaryota
Description: SSU rRNA
Rfam family: Eukaryotic small subunit ribosomal RNA
Source: RNAcentral
UCGUUAACGAACGAGACCUCGACCUGCUAAAUAGUUCGGCGAAUCUUUCGGGAUUCGUACGCGCUUCUUAGAGGGACUAUCGGUGUGUAGCCGAUGGAAGUUCGAGGCAAUAACAGGUCUGUGAUGCCCUUAGAUGUUCUGGGCCGCACGCGCGCUACACUGAUACGUUCAUCGAGCUUACAACCUUGACUGAGAGGUCUGGGUAAUCUUUUGAAAUCGUAUCGUGCUGGGGAUAGAUUAUUGUAAUUUUUAAUCUUCAACGAGGAAACGCGAGUCAUCAGCUCGCAUUGAUUACGUCCCUGCCCUUUGUACACACCGCCCGUCGCUAAUACCGAUUGAAUGGGUU